RNAcentral lists this ribosomal RNA (495 nucleotides) under uncultured bacterium. RNAcentral describes it as "partial 16S ribosomal RNA". It matches the Rfam family "Bacterial small subunit ribosomal RNA", at positions 28 to 507 of the family's 1533-position model. The record is from RNAcentral.
GACGAACGCUGGCGGCGUGCCUAAUACAUGCAAGUAGAACGCUGAAGGAGGAGCUUGCUCUUCUGGAUGAGUUGCGAACGGGUGAGUAACGCGUAGGUAACCUGCCUGGUAGCGGGGGAUAACUAUUGGAAACGAUAGCUAAUACCGCAUAAGAGUAGAUGUUGCAUGACAUUUACUUAAAAGGUGCAAUUGCAUCACUACCAGAUGGACCUGCGUUGUAUUAGCUAGUUGGUGGGGUAACGGCUUACCAAGGCGACGAUACAUAGCCGACCUGAGAGGGUGAUCGGCCACACUGGGACUGAGACACGGCCCAGACUCCUACGGGAGGCAGCAGUAGGGAAUCUUCGGCAAUGGACGGAAGUCUGACCGAGCAACGCCGCGUGAGGGAAGAAGGUUUUCGGAUCGUAAAGCUCUGUUGUAAGAGAAGAACGAGUGUGAGAGUGGAAAGUUCACUCUGUGACGGUAUCUUACCAGAAAGGGACGGCUAACUACGUG